Apis mellifera (honey bee) is the source of this 672-nucleotide long non-coding RNA. RefSeq lists it as uncharacterized. The transcript is spliced from 2 exons. NCBI's taxonomy places the organism in Eukaryota, Metazoa, Arthropoda, Insecta, Hymenoptera, Apidae. The record is from RefSeq and is a predicted model, not a curated record.
UUCUUCAUUAUCAUUCGAUAUAUAUGGAAAACGUUCCAAUCUAGAUAAAACGUGAAUUGAUUUAUAAUUUGUGUGAAAAAAAUGUUUUUUUUAUGUUGUUCGAAGUGAUUCAUUUAAGGAAAUAUUAAAGGAUGAUUUAUAGCAGAUGUUCCUAAACUUUCACCGACAAAGAUUCAUCUGGCGAGGGUCGACUUUCAUAUUAAUAGAUGUAACAUUACGUUCAUUCACUUUGACUUUUUUGUUAUAACCGAGGAAGGAAGAAAAUUGCUGUUUUAACUCGAGGAACAGCUUUCCUGUUCUAUUAUGAAACUGGAACUUUACCGGACGGAGUAUAUGUACACCAUGUAGAGAGAGAGAGAGAGAGAGAGAGAGAGAGAGAGAGAGAGAGAGAGAAUGAAAUGAAUCAGGUUGCGGGAUCGGAGAAAGAAGAAACGGGCCUCACACCACGAAGACUUUCACGCGGUCCGGUGGUCUCGCUACUAUUUUUUUUUUACUUUUCUGUUUCUUGUACGUUGUUAUAAAUCUUCAAAUGAAUUGAACAGAUAGGCGCACCUAUUUUUAUGAAUAAUUAUGUCCCGUUACGUUUUGAAAAAUGUUAUGUUUUGUCUUGCGUUGAUCGUGAUUAUCGUGAAUAUUAUGAGAGCGCAAAAUGAUCGUAUCAAAAAAAAAAAA